ACACGACUACAUUAGAUACCCCUGUAGUCCCAGCCGUAAACAAUGUGCGUUAGGUGUGUCGGUAACCACGCGUUACUGAUGCGCCGAAGAGAAAUCGUGAAACGCACCACCUGGGAAGUACGGUCGCAAGGCUGAAACUUAAAGGAAUUGGCGGGGAGCACCACAACAGGUGGAGCCUGCGGUUUAAUUGGAUUCAACGCCGGACAUCUCACCGGAUAAGACAGCUGAAUGAUUGUCAAUCUGAAGGUUUUACAUGACUAGCUG
RNAcentral lists this ribosomal RNA (264 nucleotides) under uncultured archaeon. RNAcentral describes it as "partial 16S ribosomal RNA". It matches the Rfam family "Archaeal small subunit ribosomal RNA", at positions 717 to 982 of the family's 1478-position model. The record is from RNAcentral.